RNAcentral lists this ribosomal RNA (253 nucleotides) under uncultured bacterium. RNAcentral's name for it is "partial 16S ribosomal RNA". It matches the Rfam family "Bacterial small subunit ribosomal RNA", at positions 524 to 776 of the family's 1533-position model. The record is from RNAcentral.
UACAGAGGGCCCAAGCGUUGUUCGGAUUCAUUGGGCGUAAAGGGUGCGUAGGCGGCGCGGUAAGUCGGGUGUGAAAUCUCGGAGCUUAACUCCGAAGCUGCAUUCGAUACUGCCGUGCUUGAGGACUGGAGAGGAGACUGGAAUUUACGGUGUAGCGGUGAAAUGCGUAGAUAUCGUAAGGAAGACCAGUGGCGAAGGCGGGUCUCUGGACAGUACCUGACGCUGAGGCACGAAGGCCAGGGGAGCAAACGGA